This 647-nucleotide ribosomal RNA is filed under the name Gigartinales sp. ARS-2011. RNAcentral describes it as "eukaryotic LSU rRNA". It matches the Rfam family "Eukaryotic large subunit ribosomal RNA", at positions 1264 to 1919 of the family's 3401-position model. Lineage: Eukaryota; Rhodophyta; Florideophyceae; Gigartinales. The record is from RNAcentral.
GAAUCCGCUAAGGAGUGUGUAACAACUCACCUGCCGAAUGAAUUAGCCCUGAAAAUGGAUGGCGCUGAAGCGGGCUGCCGACACCGUGCCGUCUGGGCGAGAAAGGCCCCAGAUGAGUAGGAGGGCGUGGCGGCCGUAUCGAAGCACGCGUGCAAACGCGUGUGGAACGGCCGCUAGUGCAGAUCUUGGUGGUAGUAGCAAGUAUUCAAGCGAGAUCCUUGAAGGGCGAAGCGGGGAAGGGUUCCACGCGAACAUUGAUUGGGCGUGGGUGAGUCGUUCCUAAGCCGAGUGGCGAUUGCUAAGUAGCGGCGAAAGGGAAGCGGGUUGAAAUUCCCGCACACGGAUGUGGACGCGGUGACGCGACUGAUGGGGCGAAGACGCUGGCGACGGCGCUGGGCAGAGUUGUCUUUUCUGUUUGACCAGUUUGCGCGCGCGGUGUGGAAUCCGCUUGUCGGGAGAAACACGCGUGUGCGGGCAGAGCGCCGGGGCUUUUCCGGCGUCCAGCUCGCCGUCGACGGCCCUUGAAAAUUUGCCUGCUGAAAAUCUUUGAUUUGAAAUCCACGCCGUGGCGUACCGAUCACCGCAUCAGGUCCCCAAGGUGAACAGCCUCUGCUCAGUAUGAAUAAUGCAGGUAAGGGAAGUCGGCA